GUCAGGCAUCUUAUGAGGCUGAUGUGAUCUCCCCCAUUUUACAGAUGAAGACACUGAGGUCCAGAGAGGAAACUUGCCAAGCUCAGAGCUGCCAAGUAUGGUUGUGCAGGUUGUGUCAUGCACAAAGAUACCAGGCCGAAGUGGGGAAGCGGGGGUGAAUUCCAGCGAGCCUUCUGCUUGCCCAGCCAUGUGUCCUAGACCAGGAAGUAUCAAAGGGGAGCCUGUUUCUUAUUUAUACAAAGGUGACAUGAGCUAGGGAUGCCGAUGCCCUGCUCAAGGGUGCACAGUGACUCUGUCACAGAACUGAAAUUUGAAACCAAAUUGGGGAUUCUCUCCCAGAGUUCAUUUUUUUUUUUUUUUUUUUUUUGAGAUGGAGUCUUGCUCUGUCGCCCAGGCUGGAGUGCAGUGGUGCGAUCUCGGCUCACUGCAAGCUCUGCCUCCUGGGUUCAUGCCAUUCUCCUGCCUCAGACUCCUGAGUAGCUGGGACUACAGGCGCCCGCCACCACACCCGGCUAAUUUUUUGUAUUUUUAGUAGAGAUGGGGUUUCACCGUGUUAGCCAGGAUGGUCUCAAUCCCCUGACCUUGUGAUCCGCCCGCCUCGGCCUCCCAAAGUGCUGGGAUUACAGGCGUGAGCCACCAUGCCCGGCCGCCAGAGUUCUUUUUAGCCUGACCGACAGCCCAUCCAAAGUUGAACCAGCCAAAUCCUCGAUGCAUGAAGCUUCAGGGUCUCCUUUGCCCCAGCCUGGCCCCGUCAGAUAUCUGAGUCCAAAGGAGGUUGAAGGAGGCUCUUGAGCAUCAGCUCAGCUGGAAAGAACUUUGGAGACCUCCUCCCAUUCUACAGGGGCCUUUUGGGGCAAACCUCUGUCACUCCCCUUCCUGGUGCAUAAACUACUCACCCCUCCCUGGAGCUCCUCAAGCCCCUGCCUCAGCCCAAGCCCACUUGGACCUGGACCUGUCACUGGAUUCAUUCACACGGGCCAAGCCUUCCCAUUGGCCCAUGUCUGAGGCCAUCACCUCUAUGGCCAGUGCACAGGGGAGGACGCUGCACCAGUUUAGGAACUGCACUAACCACAAGGAGAGUAAGAAGCAGGAGUGAAAUGGCCAAAGGCUGGAUUCAGGAAGUGGAGAAGGCAAACUCCACGUGGGCAGGGAUCCUGUUUUAUCAUCUCUGCUUCCUCACUGCACAGAACAGUGCCGGGCACAACUCAAUGCGGAGUUGCUGCCUAAGCCUGUGACCCUGAGAACGCAGGUGCUGCCAGAAUGGAACCCUUAGAGCGAGCUGGACUCUGGCGGCACACAUGGCCUGUGAGGACCCCUUCUCUGUCUCCCACAGCCCCUCAAUGGCCUCCCGUUUCCAUUUUU
Gorilla gorilla gorilla (western lowland gorilla) is the source of this 1362-nucleotide long non-coding RNA. RefSeq lists it as uncharacterized. The transcript has 3 exons. The record is from RefSeq and is a predicted model, not a curated record. NCBI's taxonomy places the organism in Eukaryota, Metazoa, Chordata, Mammalia, Primates, Hominidae.